GUUGGGGGAACAGGGAGAGGGAGACACAGAGGAGAGCGCCGAUGAAUAGAGACGCUUUCCUUAGCUUCCUGGAGAAGCAACGCCAGGCUUGACACUGAGUGAUGAUUGUCACGCAGAGACAGUCGGAAUAAUAACGCGGAAUCAAAUCCACAGAGAGAGGGGAGGAGGGGGCUCAGUCUGUGGAUACCUGCGCGUCUCCACUCUGGCCGCAGGUGCGCUACGGUCCCUCUAAAGGGAGUUUGAUCUGUGAGAGGCAAGUGCGAGAAGAACCAGUCCUGCAGGGAUUAUUUUUCAUUUUCUCGCCAAGUGUCAGUUUUAUUUAUUUUAUUUAUUCUUUUAGUUAAACUGAAAGCAAACUUUCUCUCCCCUUUGCGCCACCUGCAGUCACAGUUCAACUCCAGGUCUGACUCCAGCUUCAUUCGGAGCUUUGUAAGUCUGUGGGCUGUUCUUUCAGACCUUUCCUGAACUCGGAUUACACUGGACAGCACCUCCAGUCUGAAAGGAGAAUUCCUCAAAACUCCCAAGUUAACGAGAAUCAGGAGUCCUUUCCAGUCCAGUCUUUGCUUUAAAACGAGCUGAUGAAGAGAACAAUGUCUGGAUUAUUGCAGCCGCUGUUCAACCUGCCCCGGGAAAGAGGGGAGGAGUGAGGAAAGCAGUAAAAGAAGGGAGGAGGAAGAGGUGAAGAAGGGGGGAAGUCGGCGGCGUUUAGCUGCCGUCCACUAGUUCUUUAACGCCUUUGCUGCCCGGGUUCUCCACUCUCUUUUUACGAGAUACACGAACAAACAUCAAGAGACGCACGGGGAGGACCUGCGUUCACACCCUGGGCACUCAGGCUCAGAAUGCUUGACUGACUCGUUUCAAAACAGACAACUGGGCUUCUCUCAGGACAUAAGAAAACAAGAAAUCUGGCACACCGGCUUUACCUCUGGGCCAAACGGUACAAGAAACAGCAUAGCAGACUAUCCUAUUCAUCAAGUUUUCAUCCUGCUUUUAGUUGCAUAAAUACAUUCGUUUGACAGAUGACUUUGCUAAUUGCCUUUUCAAACUGCAGUAAUCUCCUGGUGCAGCGGGUGAAAAUUAAAAAUGCAGUACCCUGAGUAUUGUUUUUUCAUGUCUAAGCCUGCAUUUAUCUACGUGAAAUUAAUUCUCUAAUUUGUUUGUGAGAUAAACAGGGAAUACUUGAGAUCCCAAUCCACUUAAAGCACCUCCUCCGCUGCUUUACAUAUCCGUUCUGAAAUGCUGAUUUGUCCCUAAAGACUCCACCCGGCGGUCCUGCUAGUCAUUACCGCCGAAAUGAAGAGCAAACCUCGACUCUUUUGAAGGGUACUGUCUUUUCAAAGUGUCACCUUAAAGACAGUGUCAAAGCACUGUGCCUUCUCCUGGGCUGAAUAAAUGAAAGCCACAUUAGAAAGAGCUGUUUGGUGUUAGAUGCUGGGAAAUCACACUUGAACUGCAGUGUGUCCUACACUGCUAAUGCCUACGAUUCUGUAUGGAGGCAGGUGAUGACAUGCUUGUCCAAACACACAAAUCAUGAAGAAACUGAAAGCAGUCAGGCAUGCC
Long non-coding RNA from Oreochromis niloticus (Nile tilapia), 1560 nucleotides. Lineage: Eukaryota; Metazoa; Chordata; Actinopteri; Cichliformes; Cichlidae. The record is from Ensembl.